GCUGGCUGCUCUGUUCACUCGUCAGCGCAAGUGGCGUGACCAUGUAAUUGGGGCACGGGGCCGGCGCGGCGCGCUGCGGGCUUGCAGAAUUUUGUUUGUUUGUUUGGCCGCGCGCUGGCGCAGCCACGGGCCGCAGUUACUGGGGCGCGCUGUCGUAACAAGCCGCGCGGUGUGGCCUGCACAUUGGGGUAGAGGGGGGGUAGUCUUCCCAGAUGUUCUAGUUAGUUGUUUAGUGAAUUUGACUUCAAUAACGAGCUUUUGUUAUGGUAGGCGCGGCAGGGCGCGCGAAUUUAAGCGCAAGUGAUUGGUGACUCGGGGCUCACUCAGGCGGAGGCUAUGCGUCUCACCUGUGGUCACGAGUUGUUAGUUCGUUCGUGAUGUAGGAAUUCAGGCUCACUCAGGCGGAGGCUAUGCGUCUCACCUGUGGUCACGAGUUGUUAGUUCGUUCGUGAUGUAGGAAUUCAAGCUUUCGGGCGGAAGCUAUGGUCGACGCCAGAGGCCACGAGUCGUUUAAUUUAAGUUAGGUCAUAAUGUAGUCGUCAAGCUUUCGGGCGGAGGCUAUGGCCCUCGUCAGGGGUCACGCGUCAUAGUUUUUAAAAUGUAAUGUUCGUUCGGGAUUUCAAGGGCAGGAGAGGCCCCUAAGUUAUUUUUUUUAAAGUAAUCGAUCAAGAAAGGCUUUUCGGAAAAUGUGAGUAUGGACUUAUCUUUGUUUUAAUUUUAAGUAUUAAUUAUGAUUUGAGGUAUUCGGAAGGACUAGGGAAGUGUUUAGUGAAGUUCUCUCAUUCUCUCUCUUGUAAGGUCGUUCAAUCGUUAAGGAAGUAAAGAGAUUAUUGUUUUAAAUUGUAAUCCCGCUAUUUAAAUGUUCUUUAAAAUGAUGUUGAGUAUUUGACUUUAAGAAUAAAAUAAUUUUAAUUAAGUAUUAUGUUAUUUUGCAAAAUCUCCUUAGUUCAGCUCUCACCAGACAUCCUGUACGGGAUGACGAACCUAUGAUCCUAGGUACAGUAAAGUAUUUUAUGAAGUUAAGACUAGUUGAUGCCAAGCGAGUUGUUUCUAUGUAAAGAGCUACGAUGCUCGCCCCCCCUCUGAAGGUGGAUCGUGACAGAAAUGGCGGUGGCACCGGCUAGGUGCACGUGACAGAAAUGGUAGAGUUCGCCGGAUAGGUUCUAUUUCUGGAGAGAGAGAGAGGUAGAUUUUUAUGUUUAUUAUUAAGUUAGUUUCAGCUUCUGAUAGCAGGUUAUUAAGAGUUUACUUGAGGAGAGGAUUACGGAAUUUUAGUCUAUAGUGGAGGAAGUCUUUGAGAUUUUUUUUUUGACGUAACAGAUGUUUAUUUGAGGAUACUUGUAAGGAUAAAGUUUAUAGUGAUAAGUUGUUUUAAGUCGUUGAAUUUAUUGUAGAUUUAUAUCGGGGAUUAUUACGUGAGGAGAAUACGUUAUAAGUUAAAUGCUUAUUAGAGAUAAUGCAAGUGGUUUAAUUUAAUUGAAGUUCAUUUUAAGAUUGUAGGUUAAGAGAAUUAUAAUUUAAAAUAAAGUUUUUUGUCGUAAAUAGGAAUUAUUUUCAAGAGAAGUUUGUUUUGUUUUCGUGCGCGUAGGAGACGAGACGUACGAAUUAAAUCAGUCGAGGGAAGGAUAAACGUUAGAAAGGAAUUAAAGAGAAAACGAGAGUUUAUGUAAAAGAGAGUUAUAGAAUUUAUAGUGAUGUUUUGUUUUAAUUAGAAAAAUUUUGAGAGUUGUUUCAGAACGACACGUCAGUGGACGUGGCAGAAUGAACACGUGACGGGGAGGUGCUGAGACCUAGCGGAGAACGGAGGAACCGCAAGCGAGGGUUGGCGCACCUGAUGGAAUUCGGUGACGUCACGGGCUCAUACGGAGACGUGGACAGGCCGUGACCUUGUUUUGAUCAGCUGUACGGUAACUUAGCGAUAAGAAAAUAGACUAUUGGUUAAAUAAAUUUAAAUUUAAGUGUGUUUUAGGAGAAGAGGAACUUUCAGUAUAUUCCUUAAGAUGAGCUGAGCAGCAGUCCAGUUUACAAGAUGACAAGAGUUCGAGAGACAAGAUACAAGAUCACUGAAACAAGAGCCAAGACUGAAGAUUCAAGAGAAGAGAAAGCUGGCAGCCAUGGACUUACAAGUGGAGAUUAAUAAGGUCAUGUAAAGUUUUAUUUUUUUUUAUGGAAGACAGUAACUGGAGUUUUUUUUUGUUAUAAACAUUAUUUACAGAACUUUUUAGGUUAUAGUAAUGUAAUGGAACUAGUGAGUUGUGGUAGCUGUCAAAAAGAACUAAUACCUUAAGUUUAAUUUUUAAAGUUAAUUUUCUUAAUUUACAGAGGGAUUAGUAGUUUUUUUUAAAACCUUAUUUAGGUUGGAAUUUAAAUACAAUAGCUUAUUAUAAAUGUGUACGAACAGUUCAAGUUCACAGUACUGAUAGGUAGGUCAGAUGAUCUUAUUGAUUUUGAUGAUUUGUUGUUUUGAGUUGAUUUUUAAGUGUUGUGAAUUAGACAAUGAAAUAGUUCUGAAAACUUAAAUUAUUUCAAGCUAAGAAAUAGUAAAGUUAAUUGUAACUCAAAGGACACCAGAAUUUAAUUUUUUUUUGAAUUAGUAAUGUUUGAAAAUUUUAUACUUUACAAGAAAGGUUAUAAACAAACAGAUCGGAUGGAACAAGGAUGCAGUAAAUCACAAUUUCAUUUAGAAUUAUUGAUUAGCUUUUGAGGUUAUGAAGUAAAAGUAAUUAUAGUUUAAAAGUUUGAAUAAAAAAAAAAUGUUUUUUUUUUAAUUUGUUUGAAAUAGAAAGUUUAAAAGUUAAUUAGUCAUGAUCUAGGUGGGUGAUGGGGUGGGAAUUGGCCACUCUUUUUCCCUAUAACCUCCCUAACAUGGCCUUCUAUUACAACUAACAGAAAUAAAGAAGAAGAAAAAUGAAGAAUUAUUAGUUAGAAUGUUUCUUUCAUGAAGAUACCUGAUGAACUUUUACUGUUUGGAAGAAUAGAAGCAAGGUUAGUCAGAUAUUUUUACUCAGAAGAAGAAGAAGAUAAAGCAGUUUUAUGACUCGACAAGCCAGAGAUUGGUGUUUCCCCUCUGCGCUUCUAUUGACUACGUUGUUUACUCUCAUGGGAUAGCUGGUUCGGCACCAUGGAGAGAGAUUGGUGGGCAUUGUGGUUGCCCCCAGAAGAAAAGAAGAGUAGAAGAGGUUAUGGGUGGGUCAUGUGAACUGACCUUCAACCCAGUUACUUCGUGGGGACUAUUUGCUGUAUAGAGAAGAUCAAGACUCAAGAGGUAGGGAAAAUCAUUGGAGGUCAUGUUUCCCUUCCUUAAGUUUUUCCUAUCAAAUUAUUUGCCUGAUUAGAUUAUGCUAAGGGUGGGAUAAUUUAUGUUAGCAGUUGAAUUAAUUAAUUUUAUUUUUUUGUGUGUUUGCAUCCUUGCCCAUCGAUUGCAGUUUAGUAGUUAGUUUUGUAUUUGUCAGGCGUGAUGGUAAUGCCUGUUGAUGAUGUUUCAGAAUUGUAAUCUGUUCGUGAUGAGGAUGGCACAACUCCGAAGCAGAUGUGGGGAGAAGUUGUGAGCUGCCCUGGAAGCCAGUCCAGUAGCUGUUGGAGUUGAGUGGUGUUUGCUGAUGGCCAGCCCAGGGAGCUACUCUUCUCGACAACACUGACUUCGAGGAGUUGCACCAACCUUCACGAGAUAAGAGUUUAAUUAAUUGAAACACUGUAAGGACACUUAAUUUUUUUUGAAGAACGAAAGAAGUAUGGUAAUAAACGGAAACCGAAAAAAAAA
This is a long non-coding RNA of Bacillus rossius redtenbacheri, 3760 nucleotides long. RefSeq lists it as uncharacterized. The transcript has 2 exons. Lineage: Eukaryota; Metazoa; Arthropoda; Insecta; Phasmatodea; Bacillidae. The record is from RefSeq and is a predicted model, not a curated record.